UAAAACUAUGAAUCCAAAAAUUCACACGACAAUCCGUAAACCCGAUCCGAGACUCAAAAUAACUCAACCGCAUGACUACGGCCACAUCACCCAGUGGCAUGGUUACACCGAAGUGCCAAUACAACUCUCCGAAGAGCCGCUCCACUGAGCCAAUGCACCACUGUGCCGCACCCCCUGGUGCCAAACUCACGCUCCACUGAGCCGCUCCGAAGAGCAAAAUGCACCCCUGUGCCGCCACUAUUCUAUCACCGGUGGUCGCGGUGUCGGAACUAGUUCCUCAGUACAAGUCGACAGGGCCAACGUAUCAUCCCAUUGGCGGGGCCUAGACUAUAGUCACGUGGAUUUUAAAAGUCAACAAAUCGACUUUCCAACUCAAGUCAUGAACAAACUUCCAAUAGUACAGUACAUAACAGUUUAUGAAAUUAAAUAUUUAAUUCUAAAUCUAACAAUAAUGCCAAUAAUAAAUCAAUAAAUCAACAUAUGCAAGAUACAUGUUAAAAUUCUACUUUAAAGCAAUAGGUCACCUACCUGGGCUCGCUUAAAAAAUCCCUGCCACAGAUAUCACGAACCCCUGAUUAAACAUAAAUAUUAAUUAUUUAAUUAAUUAAGAAACAUAAUUUAAACUAAUUUCAACCCCUUAAACUCCUAAGUUCAUAAAUCCAAGAAUGGGCCCCCAAGAUCAAACAUAUACCCUAAAAUCAGAAUCCUUUAAACUCAAGUCAAUUGUGGCCCAAAA
RNAcentral lists this long non-coding RNA (736 nucleotides) under Phoenix dactylifera (date palm). RNAcentral's name for it is "long non-coding RNA (PDAC_LNC006007)". The record is from RNAcentral. Lineage: Eukaryota; Viridiplantae; Streptophyta; Magnoliopsida; Arecales; Arecaceae.